This 465-nucleotide ribosomal RNA is filed under the name uncultured Klebsiella sp. RNAcentral's name for it is "bacterial SSU rRNA". It matches the Rfam family "Bacterial small subunit ribosomal RNA", at positions 338 to 795 of the family's 1533-position model. Lineage: Bacteria; Pseudomonadati; Pseudomonadota; Gammaproteobacteria; Enterobacterales; Enterobacteriaceae. The record is from RNAcentral.
CCUACGGGUGGCAGCAGUGGGGAAUAUUGCACAAUGGGCGCAAGCCUGAUGCAGCCAUGCCGCGUGUGUGAAGAAGGCCUUCGGGUUGUAAAGCACUUUCAGCGGGGAGGGAGGCGGUGAGGUUAAUAACCUCAUCGAUUGACGUUACCCGCAGAAGAAGCACCGGCUAACUCCGUGCCAGCAGCCGCGGUAAUACGGAGGGUGCAAGCGUUAAUCGGAAUUACUGGGCGUAAAGCGCACGCAGGCGGUCUGUCAAGUCGGAUGUGAAAUCCCCGGGCUCAACCUGGGAACUGCAUUCGAAACUGGCAGGCUAGAGUCUUGUAGAGGGGGGUAGAAUUCCAGGUGUAGCGGUGAAAUGCGUAGAGAUCUGGAGGAAUACCGGUGGCGAAGGCGGCCCCCUGGACAAAGACUGACGCUCAGGUGCGAAAGCGUGGGGAGCAAACAGGAUUAGAUACCCCAGUAGUC